Molecule: ribosomal RNA, 253 nt
Filed under: uncultured bacterium
Lineage: Bacteria
Description: partial 16S ribosomal RNA
Rfam family: Bacterial small subunit ribosomal RNA
Source: RNAcentral
UACAGGGGGGGCAAGCGUUGUUCGGAAUUACUGGGCGUAAAGGGUUCGUAGGUGGCCACUUAAGUCAGACGUGAAAUCCCUCAGCUUAACUGGGGAACUGCGUCUGAUACUGGGUGGCUUGAGUUCGGGAGAGGGAUGCGGAAUUCCAGGUGUAGCGGUGAAAUGCGUAGAUAUCUGGAGGAACACCGGUGGCGAAGGCGGCAUCCUGGACCGACACUGACACUGAGGAGCGAAAGCCAGGGGAGCAAACGGG